CCACACGCACAGAGAGAGAGGGUGCGCAAAAAAGGAGCUGCCGCGGGGUUGCUGUCGCCGCCGCGAGGCUGGGCUCGCCGCUGUGGAGGGUCGCCGCCUUCCUCCACCAUCACCGAAGAUCCAUCACCGGAGCUGCUGGGCUCGCCGUAUGCUACUGUUGUGUCGCUGGAACUGUCCUGGGGUUUUGCCACUUAUUCAGAUUCUGCUCUGUUUUGGGUUAGUGAUGUUGCUAUUGUUUUGGCCGC
RNAcentral lists this long non-coding RNA (245 nucleotides) under Arachis ipaensis. RNAcentral's name for it is "long non-coding RNA (AIPA_LNC002439)". Lineage: Eukaryota; Viridiplantae; Streptophyta; Magnoliopsida; Fabales; Fabaceae. The record is from RNAcentral.